RNAcentral lists this ribosomal RNA (478 nucleotides) under uncultured bacterium. RNAcentral's name for it is "bacterial SSU rRNA". It matches the Rfam family "Bacterial small subunit ribosomal RNA", at positions 35 to 507 of the family's 1533-position model. The record is from RNAcentral.
GCUGGCGGCAUGCUUUACACAUGCAAGUCGAACGGCGAGCGGCGGGGGCAACCUGGCGGCGAGUGGCGAACGGUGAGUAAUGCAUCGGAACGUAUCCUGUAAGUGGGGAUAACGUAGCGAAAGUUACGCUAAUACCGCAUACGCUCGAGAGAGGAAAGUGGGGGAUCGCAAGACCUCACGUUAUAGGAGCGGCCGAUGUCCGAUUAGCUAGUUGGUGGGGUAAAGGCCUACCAAGGCGACGAUCGGUAGCUGGUCUGAGAGGAUGAUCAGCCACACUGGGACUGAGACACGGCCCAGACUCCUACGGGAGGCAGCAGUGGGGAAUUUUGGACAAUGGGCGAAAGCCUGAUCCAGCCAUGCCGCGUGCGGGAAGAAGGCCUUCGGGUUGUAAACCGCUUUAGUCCGGGAAAAAGGGGUGCGAGGAUAAUACCCUCGUGCUUUGAUGGUACUGGAAGAAUAAGCACCGGCUAACUACGUG